This 485-nucleotide ribosomal RNA is filed under the name uncultured bacterium. RNAcentral's name for it is "partial 16S ribosomal RNA". It matches the Rfam family "Bacterial small subunit ribosomal RNA", at positions 29 to 523 of the family's 1533-position model. The record is from RNAcentral.
AGUGAACGUUGGCGGCGUGGAUUAGGCAUGCAAGUCGAGCGAGAACCGUAGCAAUACGGGGACAGCGGCGAAAGGGACAGUAAUGUGUAGGUACCUACCCCGAGGUCUGGGAUAGCUGCGGGAAACUGCAGGUAAUACCGGAUAAUGUCUUCGGACCAAAGGUGUGAUUCCACCUUGGGAGGGGCCUGCAUCCUAUUAGCUAGUUGGCGGGGUAAUGGCCCACCAAGGCGACGAUGGGUAGCGGGUGUGAGAGCACGACCCGCGUCAUUGGGACUGAGACACUGCCCAGACACCUACGGGUGGCUGCAGUCGAGGAUCUUCGGCAAUGGGCGAAAGCCUGACCGAGCGACGCCGCGUGCGGGAAGAAGGCCUUCGGGUUGUAAACCGCUUUUAGCCGGGACGAAAGCUGUACGGAUAACACCCGUGCAGGUUGACGGUACCGGCGGAAUAAGCACCGGCUAACUACGUGCCAGCAGCCGCGGUAA